AAACGGUUCAAUUUGCGACUUCAAUAGCUGCAAACACGACAUUUUUCUUCAUUACGUCUUCCACAAAGGUCGAAACGAGAAACAAAUUGUACCGCGUGGCAGAGGAAACGAUGUCGUUUGGUGCAUCUCUACUCUCCCCAUCUUUCAAACCUCUAUGCCAUCGAAUUCGAGCUUCCGCGUCCGACGUUCCUGACUUUCUAUCUCCGGAUUGGUAGUCUUCUCUGUUUGUAUCUCUCUAUUUAUUUCUUUGUAUAUAUAUGAAGCUCUAUUUUAUUUUAUUUUUUUGGGGGUAUAAUUUUGCUUUUUUUUUUUUUGGAAAUUCCUUUUUCACCACUGUUACUGAUAUGCAGUGCGAAAUUUGGUGUUGAUCCGAAUGUUAUUUAUGCCCGAUCCAUGUAGAUAUCCCGUGUAAUCAAUAUCUCUAUGAUUUUUUAUGUUCGAGUGUGUGAGUUUUUGCGAAUAAUUGGCUAAUUAUAAUAUAAAGAAAGAUAAUAGCAGGUGUGCUGUUAGGGGUUUGCCUGAAUUAUUUCAUGGGGGUUGUGUAAAUAGUGAUUUUGUAUCCUUACUGUAACGAAACCUGUUUUCUUACUUUAAUUGCUCCAUAAAUCAUAAACACAUUGAAAAUCAUGGUCUUCGGUUUCAGCGUGCCUCAAACUUUAGAACAAAAAUAGCAACUUUCCUUGGGUGGUCUGUUCUUGGGAAGUGCUAAGUCGUAGGAGAGGGGAUUGAUCCUCGAGACUUUCGAUCCAUAGGACUUUAUAAUGAUUGUUGUCUUCUUUCAUGAAUAUCUUGAACUAGUUUUGUAGCUACGUCUUGGCUUAGAUUGAUAGUUCUGCAAAUUUGGUCUGCAUUAAAUUCUCUUGGCAUCCCAUAAGUUUUGCAAGAUCAACAUAUAUUUCUCUGAUUUAUUUCAAUGUAUAUUUGUAGGCUUGAGUCUCGCAGGAAAAGACCUUCUGGUCCGAGAUUAAGUGUAAUUUUCUAACUAUAGAACUCAUCCAACUUAGCCCUUGUUUGAUAUAGAUUAUAAUCAAAUUUUCAAUAAAUUUUGAUAUUUAAAAAAAUUUAUGAAAUGUGGUAAAAAAAUUGUGGAUUGCGUAAAAUAUGUGUUUAAAAUUAAUUGUUUACUUUGACUUGAUAUUUUUAAUUCGAUUUUAAUCUAAACCAAACUGGGGCUUUACAAAUAUGCAUGCAUUCAACCUCUGUGUGUGUGUGAGAGAGAGAGAGAGAGUGAAACAUGAGCGAAGAGUGAAAUGCAAAUGAAUGUACUUAUUUAAUUGGUUUACGAACUUUUUGUUGGCUGAAAGAUAUUUGCCUGUUAAUACGUUAGAUACUUGUUGUCUUUUGAAAUUGUCUCUUUUUUGGCUUACAAAUCAUUGAGUUGAGCUAAUAGAAUAUUAUAAUUUAACUAUACAUUCUUCAAAAAAUAUUAUUUAAUAACUGAUUAUUCUCAAAUAAAUUCUAUUAAACAAUCCUUUGUUGAUCAAAAUAAUGUGUAAUUUUAUUUUGAGCCAAAACGGUUCAAUUUGCGACUUCAAUAGCUGCAAACACGACAUUUUUCUUCAUUACGUCUUCCACAAAGGUCGAAACGAGAAACAAAUUGUACCGCGAAACGAUGUCGUUUGGUGCAUCUCUACUCUCCCCAUCUUUCAAACCUCUAUGCCAUCGAAUUCGAGCUUCCGCGUCCGACGUUCCUGACUUUCUAUCUCCGGAUUGGUAGUCUUCUUUCUUUGUAUCUCUCUAUUUAUUUCUUUGUAUAUAUAUGAAGCUCUAUUUUUAUAUAUAUAUAUUUUUUUUGGGUAUGAUUUUGUAAUUUUUUUGGAAAUUCCUUUUUUACCACUGUUACUGAUAUGCAGUGCGAAAUUUGGUGUUUAUCCGAAUGUUAUUUAUGCCUGAUCCAUGUAGAUAUCCCGUGUAAUCAAUAUCUCUAUGAUUUUUUAUGUUCGAGUGUGUGAGUUUUUGCGAAUAAUUGGCUAAUUAUAAUAUAAAGAAAGAUAAUAGCAGGUGUGCUGUUAGGGGUUUGCCUGAAUUAUUUCAUGGGGGUUGUGUAAAUAGUGAUUUUGUAUCCUUACUGUAACGAAACCUGUUUUCUUACUUUAAUUGCUCCAUAAAUCAUAAACACAUUGAAAAUCAUGGUCUUCGGUUUCAGCGUGCCUCAAACUUUAGAACAAAAAUAGCAACUUUCCUUGGGUGCUCUGUUCUUGGGAAGUGCUAAGUCGUAGGAGAGGGGAUUGAUCCUCGAGACUUUCGAUCCAUUGGACUUUAUAAUGAUUGUUGUCUUCUUUCAUGAAUAUCUUGAACUAGUUUUGUAGCUACGUCUUGGCUUAGAUUGAUAGUUCUGCAAAUUUGGUCUGCAUUAAAUUCUCUUGACAUCCCAUAAGUUUUGCAAGAUCAACAUAUAUUUCUCUGAUUUAUUUCAAUUUAUAUUUGUAGGCUUGAGUCUCGCAGGAAAAGACCUUCUGGUCCGAGAUUAAGUGUAAUUUUCUAACUAUAGAACUCAUCCAACACAUGCUGCCAUCUUUCUCUUGUACCAUGUUGAUUAAAAUCUAUGUUGU
RNAcentral lists this long non-coding RNA (2552 nucleotides) under Olea europaea (common olive). RNAcentral's name for it is "long non-coding RNA (OEUR_LNC002844)". The record is from RNAcentral. Lineage: Eukaryota; Viridiplantae; Streptophyta; Magnoliopsida; Lamiales; Oleaceae.